Molecule: microRNA precursor, 84 nt
Filed under: Bombyx mori (domestic silkworm)
Lineage: Eukaryota; Metazoa; Arthropoda; Insecta; Lepidoptera; Bombycidae
Description: mir-2807 microRNA precursor family
Rfam family: mir-2807 microRNA precursor family
Source: Rfam by way of RNAcentral
UUAACUCAAAAUUGUAUGCAGUUGGAACAGCGCCCCUAGCGGCAAACGUAGGCAAGCGUUCCAACUCCGUACAAAUUUGAGUUA